Molecule: ribosomal RNA, 492 nt
Filed under: uncultured bacterium
Lineage: Bacteria
Description: bacterial SSU rRNA
Rfam family: Bacterial small subunit ribosomal RNA
Source: RNAcentral
GAUCAUGGCUCAGAUUGAACGCUGGCGGAAUGCUUUACACAUGCAAGUCGAACGGUAGAGGGGGCAACCCUUGAGAGUGGCGAACGGGUGAGUAAUAUAUCGGAACGUGCCCAGUCGUGGGGGAUAACGUAGCGAAAGUUACGCUAAUACCGCAUACGAUCUAAGGAUGAAAGCGGGGGAUCGCAAGACCUCGCGCGAUUGGAGCGGCCGAUAUCAGAUUAGGUAGUUGGUGAGGUAAAGGCUCACCAAGCCGACGAUCUGUAGCUGGUCUGAGAGGACGACCAGCCACACUGGGACUGAGACACGGCCCAGACUCCUACGGGAGGCAGCAGUGGGGAAUUUUGGACAAUGGGCGCAAGCCUGAUCCAGCAAUGCCGCGUGCAGGAUGAAGGCCUUCGGGUUGUAAACUGCUUUUGUACGGAACGAAACGGUGAGCUCUAAUACAGUUUGCUAAUGACGGUACCGUAAGAAUAAGCACCGGCUAACUACGUG